RNAcentral lists this small nuclear RNA (305 nucleotides) under Octodon degus (degu). RNAcentral's name for it is "7SK RNA (ENSODEG00000024320.1)". It matches the Rfam family "7SK RNA". Rfam says of the family: 7SK was discovered as an abundant small nuclear RNA in the mid-70s but a possible function has only recently been suggested. Two independent studies have found that 7SK RNA binds the CDK9/cyclin T complex (known as elongation factor P-TEFb). P-TEFb activates transcription by phosphorylating the C-terminal domain of RNA polymerase II. Lineage: Eukaryota; Metazoa; Chordata; Mammalia; Rodentia; Octodontidae. The record is from RNAcentral.
GGAUGUGAAGGUGAUCUGGAUGUGAUAUUUCUCAUCCUAUUAAUCACUAGCACUCAUUCAGCUGAUCUGGCAGGCUAGGUGGCCCUUUUUCCAUCACCAUUCCAUGAGUGUCCCUCGAGGCUGUGUGCCCUAUCAAAGAGGACAGCCUUCUCCAGUAGAGAAGGAUCAUUUCCUUGGUCAAAAGUAUAUGUGUAGCUGCACUGCCCUGCUAGAACUUCCUAACAAGUUUUCAAAUUAGGUUAAUGCAUUUCUGGAAGUGACCUCAUUAUUCCUCGCUGCAUAGUAAAGUCAGACUAAGUGUUCUU